This 423-nucleotide ribosomal RNA is filed under the name Triticum aestivum (bread wheat). Its description in RNAcentral is "partial small subunit ribosomal RNA". The record is from RNAcentral. Lineage: Eukaryota; Viridiplantae; Streptophyta; Magnoliopsida; Poales; Poaceae.
AUGUACUGUUUUUGCUGGAUGUGGUCAUUGUUUUUGCUUCCACCACGUUCUGGGCUGCGACUGUGGGGGAGUCGCCGGGCUGCCGUCGGCGAGUUGGCUGGUGCUGCAGUAGAAGCAUGCGAGGAUAUGGGGAAGGAGGAGGUCCAGGGUGCAGGACAUGGCCACGGGGGAGACGAUGGGGGAGCUGAAGUGGAGAGGCGGCGACGGCGAACUCUGGCCCGCGGCGGGGGCAGCGACCUGCAUGGUGGGCGGGGCAGGUGGUCGGGGAUUGGCGGCAACCCAGGGUGCAGGGGGGUGCGCAUGGAGGGUCGAUUUGGUGGGGCGAGGGGAAUUUUUUCCCUACUCGUGGGGAACGAUGGGAACGAAGUAGGGAGAAAGACGAUGGGGAACGACGUCUAUCGACAGCUGUGCAAGAUUAAUUAA